Molecule: ribosomal RNA, 498 nt
Filed under: uncultured bacterium
Lineage: Bacteria
Description: partial 16S ribosomal RNA
Rfam family: Bacterial small subunit ribosomal RNA
Source: RNAcentral
GACGAACGCUGGCGGCGUGCCUAAUACAUGCAAGUCGAACGAGAGCGACCGGUGCUUGCACUGGUCAAUCUAGUGGCGAACGGGUGAGUAACACGUGGGUAACCUGCCCAUCAGAGGGGGAUAACAUCCGGAAACGGAUGCUAAAACCGCAUAGGUCUUCGAACCGCAUGGUUUGAAGAGGAAAAGAGGCGCAAGCUUCUGCUGAUGGAUGGACCCGCGGUGCAUUAGCUAGUUGGUGAGGUAACGGCUCACCAAGGCCGUGAUGCAUAGCCGACCUGAGAGGGUGAUCGGCCACAUUGGGACUGAGACACGGCCCAAACGCCUGCGGGAGGCAGCAGUAGGGAAUCUUCCGCAAUGGACGCAAGUCUGACGGAGCAACGCCGCGUGAGUGAAGAAGGUUUUCGGAUCGUAAAACUCUGUUGUUAGAGAAGAACAAGUGCUAGAGUAACUGUUAGCGCCUUGACGGUAUCUAACCAGAAAGCCACGGCUAACUACGUG